UACGUAGGGUGCGAGCGUUGUCCGGAAUUAUUGGGCGUAAAGAGCUUGUAGGCGGUUUGUCGCGUCUGCUGUGAAAAUCCGGGGCUCAACCCCGGACUUGCAGUGGGUACGGGCAGACUAGAGUGUGGUAGGGGAGACUGGAAUUCCUGGUGUAGCGGUGAAAUGCGCAGAUAUCAGGAGGAACACCGAUGGCGAAGGCAGGUCUCUGGGCCAUUACUGACACUGAGAAGCGAAAGCAUGGGGAGCGAACAGG
RNAcentral lists this ribosomal RNA (253 nucleotides) under uncultured bacterium. RNAcentral describes it as "partial 16S ribosomal RNA". It matches the Rfam family "Bacterial small subunit ribosomal RNA", at positions 524 to 776 of the family's 1533-position model. The record is from RNAcentral.